GCCUUUCCACGUUGCACAAGCCCAGCACAGUGUACCCACUGGAUGUGCCCGAGGCCUCCAGAGGAAAGGAAAGGAGGAAAAGGGACAGAAGAAAUGUUCACAGGAACUGCAUAUGGGCCUGCUACUUGUGUCAAAAUGUGACUGAACUCUCUUCCAGCAGUGUGAAUCCCUGGAAGGCAAGAUCGCCAUUCUGGUCUCUUGUGGAUAUCAAUGCUGAUCUCAGCUUCUGAUGCACGGCAGUCAAUUAAUAAAUGAUUGUUGCCUGAAAAACUGAGCCCCAAAACAAUAUUACAAGUUUAAUAUCAGUAAAGGAUUUAAUGCUUUCUAACAUGAAGAUACCAGAAGUUGCUGAUUUUUGUAUAACCCAGAGAUGGAUUUAAAUGCAGAGUGUAUGAACUUCUUCAUUCCUGAGGGAGGACUUAUGAUUUCAUGAGAAAUGCCCCAGGAAAGGGGCCGGGGAGACUGAUGGAGAAGAAGAGUUUGGGAGGGAAGCCCCAGUGACCAUCUGCCCCAUCAGGGUCACAUGCAGAGGGUCCUGCUCCUGCCGUUGGAAGUUGGCUUCCUGAGCUGCUGAACGUGCCAGUCCUGCUGACCCACUCUCAGAUAUCACAGGCACCCGCUGUGUCUGAAAGAGACCUUUCUGCAAGUACACGUGCAGGUCUGCUCUGCAAAGGCGUUAUCAUCUGCAGAUUAUUGCACAGAGUGGCUACGAGCUGUGGUGUGAUCCUGUCACAGAGAGAGCCUGGUCACGUUUUCAGAACAGCAGGAAACAGGUACACCUGUAAGCUUAUACUUAUCAGAUUUAAAGAUAAAACAAAAAAUCCAUGCUAUUCCAUGAAAAUCGGACUCAAAUAAACUUAGUCACUGAUCUGUGAAGUAAAUAAUCUGAUGGUAAUGCAUCAGUUGACACUUGGGCCUGGGUUUUUAGGCACUAAUGAAAGCCGGGGCAAAAUAAUUUUUAAUCUACCAUUAUUUCCCUUGAUGGUUCAACAAAAGUUCUUGUACUAGAAAGUUUUAUAAAACUACUUUCUCAGUGUCCUGUGACAUUUCUCUGAUGAUAGAAAAAGUCAAUAUUUGAUAGCUUAAAUAUCAAUAUUGACAGAAAUAUGAUUAUUUAAAUAAAAACACAAAUAGUAAAAUAAUUUUAUAUGAUA
This 1154-nucleotide long non-coding RNA is filed under the name Pan troglodytes (chimpanzee). RNAcentral describes it as "lincRNA". The record is from RNAcentral. Lineage: Eukaryota; Metazoa; Chordata; Mammalia; Primates; Hominidae.